Molecule: long non-coding RNA, 215 nt
Filed under: Mytilus galloprovincialis (Mediterranean mussel)
Lineage: Eukaryota; Metazoa; Mollusca; Bivalvia; Mytilida; Mytilidae
Source: RNAcentral
GACGGUCUAGUCCAAUAAUAUUUUUUGAUAAACUUUUUACGUAUAUCAUUAUAAUUUGUAUUGUAAAAUAAAAUGAAGUUCAUCCUCUACUACAUUUUUAUCACACACAAUACAGAUUCUACUAUUUAUACUUAUUCCCUAAAAACGACCAGUUUCAAUGCAUAGAUUAUGUGAGGACAGGCGAAUUCUCGUUAUCCAUUCACGAGCUAUUACAG